RNAcentral lists this ribosomal RNA (253 nucleotides) under uncultured bacterium. Its description in RNAcentral is "partial 16S ribosomal RNA". It matches the Rfam family "Bacterial small subunit ribosomal RNA", at positions 524 to 776 of the family's 1533-position model. The record is from RNAcentral.
UACGUAGGGUGCAAGCGUUAAUCGGAAUUACUGGGCGUAAAGCGUGCGCAGGCGGCUUUGCAAGACAGAUGUGAAAUCCCCGGGCUCAACCUGGGAACUGCAUUUGUGAUUGCAAGGCUAGAGUACGGUAGAGGGGGAUGGAAUUCCGCGUGUAGCAGUGAAAUGCGUAGAUAUGCGGAGGAACACCGAUGGCGAAGGCAAUCCCCUGGACCUGUACUGACGCUCAUGCACGAAAGCGUGGGGAGCAAACAGG